UACGUUCAUAGCUUAGUGGUGGAGCAUCUGUUUCAUAUGCAGAAGGUCCCAGGUUCUAUCCCCAGUGGAGUCU
This is a non-coding RNA of Podarcis lilfordi (Lilford's wall lizard), 73 nucleotides long. The record is from the annotation of a GenBank genome assembly. NCBI's taxonomy places the organism in Eukaryota, Metazoa, Chordata, Lepidosauria, Squamata, Lacertidae.